UGGGGAAUCUUGCACAAUGGGGGAAACCCUGAUGCAGCGACGCCGCGUGAGCGAAGAAGCCUUUCGGGGUGUAAAGCUCUUACGCCAGGGACGAUAAUGACGGUACCUGGAGAAGCAGCUGCGGCUAACUACGUGCCAGCAGCCGCGGUAAUACGUAGGCAGCAAGCGUUGUUCGGAAUUACUGGGCGUAAAGGGUGCGUAGGCGGCGCUUUAAGUUUGGUGUGAAAUCUCCCGGCUCAACCGGGAGGGUGCACUGAAAACUGGGGCGCUCGAGUAUGGGAGAGGAAAGCGGAAUUCCUGGUGUAGCGGUGAAAUGCGUAGAGAUCAGGAGGAACACCCGCGGUGUAGACGGCUUUCUGGACCAUGACUGACGCUGAGGCACGAAAGCGUGGGGAGCAAACA
This 402-nucleotide ribosomal RNA is filed under the name uncultured bacterium. RNAcentral's name for it is "bacterial SSU rRNA". It matches the Rfam family "Bacterial small subunit ribosomal RNA", at positions 355 to 774 of the family's 1533-position model. The record is from RNAcentral.